CUGCAUCGAAACAAAGACACCCUGUACAAUUAAAUUAAUUUGGUCAAAUAAUAUAGCUAGAUUAAUUAAUUUAAUUGAUUAAUAACGCUUAAUAACUCACUCCACGUGGGACUGUUAUUCCAUUGCCAUUGAUUAGGUGCACAUAAUAGCGGCCAAUGUAACGGUCCUAGAAGUGGUGCUCGCACACGGCGCUGUUCUCAUCGAGCAGCUUGUCACUACGGUGAAGAUUCCUUUCCCAGAGCUUCUUACGUUCUCCAUCUUUAGGUGCGCUGAAUAGCCAGACCGUCCUUGAGACGCUCACACCGGAGUAUCCAGAGCGAUAACCUGGAGCAUAACAAUGACGGUUCCUCUCGCUCGGCAUGAUUCAAUCAUCAGGCUACAGCAAUCGCACGAACACGUACGUAAUGCCCCCACCACCCAUCACACCACGCGCGUCACCGGAAUGCUUGGGCUUCGUGAAUUGAAGGAAACGUAGCCAAGCUUCUAAGCGGGUGUCAUGACUGUAUCACAAAAAAACACAGAAAAUCUGUUGGGUUCUUGGGUUUCGCUUUUUGCAAGCACACUUCAUCAUGAUGUUCGGAACAUGAACGUGUAGGUGUAGGACCAACUUUUUCCACAAUUGGUCAUGACUGUAUCAGAAAAAAAACACAGAGUAAGUGGCAGAGUUAUGUACUUUUCCUUGUUGUGCAUGAAAUGUUGGAGAAAUCGGUUGGGUUCUUGGGGUUUCGCUAUUGGCAAGCACAUUUCAUCAUGAUGUUCGGAACAUGAACGUGUGGGUGUAGGACUAACUCUUUUCACAAUUGAUUACUCGACUGCCAAUGAUUCAAAGAACUCUGCGCUUUCGCGCAAAUAUGGCGACAUCAUUCGAAUUAUAUGACGUGGCAUCAUUUCUCGGACACAAGCAGUUGCUUCUAGGAUUGGCCGAAAACGCCUAUUGGUCAAGUAAAUGACGUCACCAAUGACGAUCGCGUCGUACGAUUUUCUCGACUCUUCGCCUCCUUGUUCCUUUUUCGGUCUCGCCAGCCUCUCAGACACGAAGGAAGCAAAGAGAGAAGGAGCCCUAUUGCUCCGAGAAGUGAAACCGAGGUUGGGGACCACUCCAGUGACAUCACCGCUCCCCUUCCGGUUUCGGUUACAUAUACAUCUCUAUGGGUGCUGCCAAAGUAUAGUUUCGGAAUACUUUUAGAGGUGAGCGCGCCGAAGUGGCCCCCAAAAGUGACGUGUGCAAGCGAUCUCAUUGGGCUGGUCAGGUAACGUGACCCUCGCGUGGUUCCAAAGGAGCUACAGCUCAUCUCUUAUGCUCACGU
Long non-coding RNA from Ornithodoros turicata, 1307 nucleotides. RefSeq lists it as uncharacterized. The transcript has 4 exons. Lineage: Eukaryota; Metazoa; Arthropoda; Arachnida; Ixodida; Argasidae. The record is from RefSeq and is a predicted model, not a curated record.